This 7424-nucleotide long non-coding RNA is filed under the name Xyrichtys novacula (pearly razorfish). The stretch from base 1 to 58 matches the Rfam family "tRNA", at positions 15 to 71 of the family's 71-position model. Lineage: Eukaryota; Metazoa; Chordata; Actinopteri; Labriformes; Labridae. The record is from RNAcentral.
GCGGUUAGGAUUCCUGGUUUUCACCCAGGCGGCCCGGGUUCGACUCCCGGUAUGGGAACUACCCUUUUCUCUUUUGUAAGAUGGAAGUGUCACUUUCGGCGACCAAUUAAUUUAGCUAUUUGUUCCCCUUAAAACACGACAUUACAGACCAAUCGGUUGCUCUGUAGCUAUGGCUUGUCUGAUAUACUCCUCACAAUGUGCCCUCAUCAUUUCCAGAGAACGCUUACAUUAGACCCCGCCCGGUGAGGAGUUAUCCUCAAUUGCUCUCAUCUCACAAGGGUUUGGACAUUCCCGGAAGAUGCAUAAAACCACAGCUUAUAUCUCUCAAUGUUCAAAUUGUAGCGCCGUUAAAGUGAAAUCCUCGGGAGAGACGAAUAAGGGAUUUAACUAAACUUUAUCGACAGUUUUUUUUUUUACAAACGUCAUUUCAUUCGCGCGACGCUCAUUUGACUUCAUCUCGAUUGCCUGUAGGUAGGACACACCUGUGAACGUGUAACGGUUUCUCCAAACGUUACAGACGUCGUUUUCAAGACAGUUUGUUCAGUCCGUGUUCAAAAACAGUCAUUUAUUUCUUAGAGUUACCUGUCUGAGGGGUAGAAAAUGACGUGGAUACUGUAUAUCUAUGUCCCACCGUCUUUCUAGCCUUACACCGUUCGUCAAUGCUUAUUACCCAGCUUUGAAAACCUGUCCCCAAGUCCUGUCGCUUCACCAGUAGGCUACUACGAGGCUGCAGCUAAACUUUUGGUGCCGGGCCAAUCGUUUCUCAGGAAAAUGUGACUGCUAGGAAUUCCCCACGCAUCAGCCCCUGCCGGAGAAAAGGCAACCUUGUGUCAGGAAACACACGAAAGCAGCGGGAGGGUAAACUGGCCGGUGACUCUGCGAUGAUGUAUCCAGGCACAGCUCAACUCACUCCAGGGAUCAUAAUGCUUCUUUGAGGCCGCCUGGUUUCAUGGGCAAAGCUAGCGAACUGCCUGAACAACCCAAGGAAUAUAUAAUACUGAUGACAACUUCUAUUAAGGUUAGUCCUUUGAAUGUUUCUAAAAGUAAAGUUUUUAAUUAUAGCUUUCUUUAUCCUCAUCAGCAUCUGUAGGCAACCAUUGGUUCUCUGUUGAGUCAUACUUUUGAAAUGUUCUCAUGUUGUACCCUUUGUUGUGAAAUAGGCCUAUUUCUGACUUUUAACAAAACACUACAUCUACAUAGCUCAUUUUCGACAUCAGAACAAGUUUCCUUUUAUGCACAAUGCCUAAACUCCACAAAGUUAUUAAACAACAAAGAAGCGUGACUGAACUCAUGAUACAAGCCAGUAUAGGAGACAUGACCUGCAGCUCUGUUUUGCUCACUGCUCCACAGAUUUCUGUGACUCCCCUUUGUGUCAGUCUGCCAGCAUGUGACUGCACUGAUAGCAUGUGUGAGGCCGGGUGUGAGAGAGUGUGCUAGUGCUUAGUUGUAUUUACUACAAUCAUUAGGGUUGUCACAUUCAGAGGGUUGAUUUUAUCUAGUUUGAGUUUACUCUUGAUCAUUUAGGUUGUCAGGUGUGGCCUUGUUACAAGAACAUGGAAAAAAGCCGGUGUACUUUAUUUAUAACUUUCAUUCGGGUCUAGUUAAAGUUAAACAUGAAUACUGAUCUGCAUUAGACUUUGGUUUAUUGGCGUAGGGCUCAAACUUAUGAAGCAACAGAACAAUAAAAAACUGUUUUGAUAAUAAAUAUGGCAACUUAAGAAUUAAAACAUCCUCAGCAAUCUCGGUAUGCCUGUGUGACACACAAUUACUAAAACAGUGAAGACUAAAGUAGCCAUUGAUAAUCUAAUGGGUUAUACAGUCACUUAACUCCAUUAUAGAGGAUUCUUGCUUGUUUUGGAUAAGCCGAGUUAUUAAUACAUUUCACAGCAUGUGUUUCUUUGUCUAAUUUUAAUCUACAAGAUCAAUCCUAUUCUACAAGCAGUCAAAUGUUUGCCAGAUGUUUACAUUUCUGGGUGAAGAUGCUUUUACCAUGAGACAUACAAACACAUUCUCAUUGGUCCACUGGAUUUGCUCUCUUCAGAGAGGGAAGUUAUGACGCAGAGGGGAAAAGGGGAGAGUUACGAGCUUUAAGCAUUUCAGUCCCACUGGAGACAAGACCAGCUGGACCCACCAACCCUUCACCCUCCUCCCGCCUGGUCUCUCCUCCCCUACAGUCUUCCUUAUGGUGGGAACACUGGCAAAGGCUUGUGGAUAAUUGGAAACUUCAAUCCACUGAAAGCAAUUAUCCAGAACAAGACUUUCCAAAUAUACUCCAGAGUGGAGUCAUCUUGUUUGUCUCUAGCAUGUGCCCUCGUUUUAGAAACACUCAGCUCACACGUCCAGCCUUUCUUUAUCCCCCUCUCCUGCUUACUUUGAUAACAGUAAUGCUACACAUGCUCCUUGACUGAUCCAGUUCGUUUGCAGUUGAAGACUGUGUGGUUGAGACUUAAUCAUUUCCCAGUAUAGCUUUCUCCUCCUGCAACAUUACUGUCACCAGCAGUCUCAGCAGCUGAGGAGUGCAGUGUUGAGGAAGAACAACAAUGCGCUCUCUCCCUGCAUCGACAAGGAGCUCCUCAGACAUCAGACACUUCUUCUUAGUCUUGCCCAAGAUGUACCCGCCUGCCUUAAUGGGCUGCUGGAUAUUGAUUUGGCUACACAAAAAGAAGAUCUGAGCUUUUAUCUAUUUAGAAAGCAGCACUCCAGUUUCACUAAAGCUUUCAGUGCGGCCUUCCAAGAGACGGGAACCCAGCUGCUUUUUUCCCCCCUUUUUACAAGUUGGCAAAUAAUAAUUUAAAACCUCUUUGCAACAGUGUCCAGAGACUAUAAGAAUCGAGGAACUAAAAAGACAAUCUUUUAAACAAAGCUUUGAUAUUCAUGUUGCUCUCAAUCCUUUUAGAAUAAAAAAUAUAUAAGCUGACCAAAUAAAAUUUAACCGAGGCUCCUAUGUACCUUUCUUGGUGUAAAUUACUGUCAUUAGAACCUUUGAAAUAACCACAAGAUGGCAAUGUUCAUAUACUUUGAAUAAACAAACAAUCAUGUGAGAUGGCUGAAACCUCAAAUGACUCACAGAAAGGUAGGAAGCGACUUGUGAAAAGAGAAACAAAACUGUUGAACUUCCCCUUUUCUCGACCCUGCGUUAUUCUGUUGCGGGUUCCUCAGGAGGGAACUGCUGUUUUGCAAAGUUCCUCUAAUUGUAUACUAACCUGGGUUUUGACACCUGAAUAUCACCUUGUCAGACAUGUUUGAUUCUAGGCGGCAGCAUUAUCAGCAGUGAAACUGCUGCCGUUGGACUUGACGUCAGACAGAAAGGAGAGACGAGGGAAAUUCCACCUGUAACCUCAUUCUGCACUUAUGCUGCCUCACCAGCAUGUGACUCAGACGAGUCAUCAGGUCCCAGUUUCUCCAUGCAUUGAGUAUGAUGUAAUGAAGGACUACAAUCUGUCUAUUUUUAGCAUGUGAAACAGGACAAGUUGACUUUGUGUAGUUGUGUUUGAGAAGGCCAGACUUCAGUGGGUCAUAAACUUAUAAAAACCCAAAACUAAAUGUGGUCUAAUUAGGGAAAAACUUUCAACUGAAGACAGGUGUUUGCAAAGAUUUUGUGAUCAUAUUCAAGUGAAAAAUUGUAUCUCAAAUAGCUAGAUGGUUUUGAAGUAAAGCCAUCAUCUUUCACCCUGUUUGGAUAAUACUACAAAAAUAUUUUUGAUAUUGUUCCUAUAACUGGAGCCGGUCCUUCAUAGCAGGAUUUUUGGUCAUCAAGGUAACUCCAUGUUAAAUUCUGUAAUUUCAGCACCGGAGAGCUGUGAAAGCUGCAAACCUAUUCUUGUCUUCAAGCACUGCUAAGCUAACUGGCUGCUAGAAAGCUGAAAAAGCAGGCUAAGUGAGGAAAAUGUUAUGAAACCUGAUCCUGAGCCUGAAAAUAUAACUUUGUCUGCAAGGGAACUAUUGAAGGAUGAAUCAGAGUACCCACUCUGGCAGCAUGUUGACAUCAUGAGAUUAGUUAACCGCAUUACUGAGAUAUUUUUAUGAUGCCUGCUGAGGUCCAUGUAAGCACACGGUGUAGUAAGCUGUAUCACUGAUGUAAGUAUAACUACAUUAAGGAGUGAUGGCCGGGGUUGUAAUGUUCUAGCUUACUUAAAUUCGACCACACAGAGCAGUUCUUCACAAAAAUAGAGACUCGCUGCGCCUGCAACUUUGGCUCGUAAUGAUAUUUCAGCCUGUCAUUUUUCAUGUCUCUUCCAGCUAAUGAGCUAGUAGUGAGAGGUUCACAGAGGCCUUUCAUGAGUCAGCUCUGCCUCUGGUGCUUGGAUUCAAGCAGUGAGCUUAGCCCUGAGAAACUCUAAAGAUCUUUCCCCCCGUUCAACUUUGAGAAAACUCUCUGAACAAGUGUGACUAGUGUACAUCAAGUGAAGACAGAGGAGGUCGGAUUUGCAGGCACUCUUAACAGCUCGCCACAUCUGUCGUCUGUCCUCACUUGCGGUAAAUUUUGGCGUUUGAUUGUUUUGGGUUAAUUUCAGAGUGACGAGCUGUCCACAAGCUUGUUGAAUUAUUUAACUGCAUGCAGCCAAUGGGUAUUAUAAUCUAGGCUCUGACUGACAGAGCAAUAUGCUCCUAGGGCCUCAUGGCAUUUUAUUAAUAAUGAGCUUGAGAUAAACUUGAGCUCUUGGGCUGCAGCACACCGGCAGAGGCCUGCUCUUUGGCCUGAAUGACUGCGUAUGAUACUGAUGGACUUUUUAUAACCUCAGAUUGUUAAUGAUCACUUCUUUGUAGAAGAAACAAAAGUUGUGUGGUGUGCGACGUGACAUAGUUAUGAAUGAUUUCUGCUGGUUUCUGAAUGCAUGCAUGCAGUGCUCUCAGCCUGGAGGAUCAGGAUUGUUAGCCUGCUCCCAGUAAUUGAUAAUUAAUGAGCUGAAGCUUGCACGUGUGUCGACUGUAGGUCUAAUGCUAUACCCCAUAAAGCAAGCUAUUUGUUUUAUUUUUCAGAGCUUCUUUAUUAUAUUGCACCAUGAGCUGAUAAGAGAUGUUAUCAUGCAGUAUGCAAACAGGAACAAUGUAUAGGGAGCAGGGUAAUUAUUCAAAUUAGGAUCCCGGAGGUCCUUUACCACUUCUGAGUCAGAGGAUUCUCAUCAGCUCUCUUAUUGUACAAAUUAAAAUUAAACUGAAGGAAACAGAUGCUAUUUAGUUACAAACUGAACUCUCCCAUUGAAGAUAAAGAUAGACAAAGUGAACAGGACCUCAGCACGUAUCUAUGAUGACAUUUCUGUCAUGAUUCAGCUCUCCUGCUUCUCGGUGCUUUGCUCUUGACACACCUUUAUCUUAAAUGUGGCAAAUGUCACAACUAUUAUUGCUGUACUUUUAUCACUCUUGAUUGCAUCAUUGUAUUUUGAUCAAAUGCUGAUCUAGGCAAAGAUUUUGCAAGACUCUUUCCUUGCUCUUUCUUGUGUCCGCGAAUUUCUCAUCAAAUAUCACCAACAAAAACGUGCGGCCCGCUCAUCAAACUGUUCAAAAGUUCUCAUGAAUCACUCACUGUCUGAUGAACUGUGGCUCUGAACGCAUUGUCUUAACAGCAGUACACCCACACAACUCCGCACUGGGCCAGUCUACAGUCAUCCUCAGUCAGCACAGUGAUUCAUGUUGAGUCCUGGUGCAGCUCUGGAUGGUCACUGUCCGAGAAUGAGGACGUUUUCGUAGCACAGUGAGCUGUUAGCGCGUUGAAUCAACCAGUCUGGCUGCAACCGACUGGCCUAAACCUAAACAACUCUUAUACAUGUCUGCUUUUCCUACAACCAGACAUGAUGGAUGUUAUUGUUGUGUUUUUUCCUGUAAUAAUCCCUGGUACGUACCUCAGGUGUGUUAAUUAUGUAUCUCUGCCCUCUUUGUUUAACUUACUCUUUGUCUCUCGUGUGCUGCACUUCUGUCCUGUUCACUGGCCUCUGACAGUGUCAUCUAAAAGCGUCCCUGUUCUGUAUUUGAGCAGCGAGAGCAGCCAUCAGAUGACCUCCAAGCUACACAAAUAAUUCUGUGUGUCCUUCCAAGGCUCCCUUAGCGUUUUCUGUCAAGGAUUGUGUCAGAAUGUAUGUCAGGUUUUCACGAGUCCACCAACAUAACUAUUUACUGAAUGAUCAGAAUUUCCUGAGUGCUGCUUUUAGUGGAGGGUUUGUCAGGUGCAAAUUUGACGGGCAUGCCAUGAUAAAUGUGUAUUAUAAAUCAAGUCAAAGUGGGAAAAAUGAAAUAAAAUACAAAACACAUUUAGCUCUAUUUGGAGCUCCAUUUACCACUCUUUGAGUCGCAGAUAAGAAUCGAGGCCUAUUAUUUUUUGUCAUAGAAAUAUUUGUAAUUACCUGAAUAUACAGUCAGAUUAAGAAGCUUUCUUGUAAAUAGAUAGUAGUGUAAUGGCAGCUCAGAAUAACAUCAGAUGACUGAUGUUAGCACUUUCUGUAGUGGUUGACCCCUGUACUGGAGAAUAAGCCCUACAGGAAAAUAAACGACCCUCCAUUUCAUUCUUAAGCACUGAAGUACCAUUGUCAUCUCUGCUUCAAAGGUACAUAAUGAAAUAAACCACCAAAGCAGGAUUAUAAUCAACUGUACAAAACUGUCUUUUUAUGUUUUCUAUCUUCAGAUUGAGAUCUCGAUCUAAAAGUCAUGAUACGCAAGCAACCAAAGCUUCACUUUUUAUUCCUUUUUCUUUGUUGCAGAGAGAGGAUGUAACUUGUUGAGCAAAUGUGUGUGAGUUUGUGUUACAGAACUUAGAUGGAACGAUUGCAAAUUCUCAGGAAACUCUUUAGUGUGAACUCUCAAACCCACAAAAAAAUAUAAUUUCAUUGAUGGUGUGGCUUCACAGUUUCGUGUAAAUUGAGCCCAUUUACUUUCCCCUACAAAUACUGUGACUAAAGAUGUGUGUCUGGUGUAACUAACUGACAUUUUCCGCUACUUUCAUUUAUGAAACUUAGGAGUAGUGUUUUGUUUUUUUUAAUGAUCCAAGGACUGUUUUUUUCCUCAAUAUGAACUCUGUCUGUUUGGCAUCUUUUGUGUGUUUGUUCACCCAGAAGAGGAGACAUGUUUUCCCUUGCCUUACUGAAGAAAAUUUGCUAAUUUACUCCAUAAAAUUGACUUAAAGCUCCUGUAUGGAAAUUUGAAUUGAAAAACUGAAACUAAUAGCAUUGACUUUUUAUGACCCUAAGAGCAAAGGGACCCAUCUGCAACCAGAUAGUUGAUUUUUAAUGCUUUAAACGGCAGUGAAGGAUUAGGUGUCAGACCAGAUGAUUGACAGCACUUAUUCACAGUCAGUGAUAUAGUUGACUGUUAAAAGAGGAUUUUAAGUGAUUUUUCAAUAGACAAUUCCCACCUUUGCAAAGAUGAACAUCUUUGGUAGCUGAAGGGCGCCAAAAUCAACACUACCAAAAGUCCCCUACUGCAGCUUUAACUUC